Long non-coding RNA from Myotis brandtii (Brandt's bat), 535 nucleotides. RefSeq lists it as uncharacterized. The record is from RefSeq and is a predicted model, not a curated record. Lineage: Eukaryota; Metazoa; Chordata; Mammalia; Chiroptera; Vespertilionidae. The transcript is spliced from 3 exons.
GGCCCGAAGCUCACGCUGGAGCCCAGAUGACCAGAGUCGCCCCCGCUGUUGUUCAAGGACAAGAGAACCCAGGCCCACGUGGGUUAGGAUGCUUGGCCUCAACCUUCAUCUUCCCAGGACCAUUGAGAGGAGUCAGCUUGAUUGACAGGCAGCCAGACAGGGCAGUGCCCCACGGGAAACAAAGGCAGGUGGAAGGGAGGCAGGGCAGACACUGUCACGUGAGCCAGCCUAACCACGGAAGCCAACCGCGCAGAAAUAACAGGACGAUUUUAGACUCAGAGAGGAGACACGUGCAACUAGGGAGGGGCUGCAACACUAAGGUGAGCUGAGGCAUAGGAACCAGGAAGGGUCAGUUGUGCUUCUGGGCAAGAACAAUUGAGAGAAUCAAUCAGGUGUCCACAGGGGGAGAUAGAGAGCAGGUUUGUAGCAAAUAUGUACCCCUAGACCACAGGCUUCCGUGGCCACCAUGACUGAGUCCACUCCCCAUGCAGGGAGUCUGAAUCUGCUUGCAAUAAAGUUUCCCCACUUUUGCUUC